This 440-nucleotide ribosomal RNA is filed under the name uncultured bacterium. Its description in RNAcentral is "partial 16S ribosomal RNA". It matches the Rfam family "Bacterial small subunit ribosomal RNA", at positions 339 to 795 of the family's 1533-position model. The record is from RNAcentral.
CUACGGGUGGCACCAGUGAGGAAUAUUGCACAAUGGAGGAAACUCUGAUGCAGCAACGCCGCGUGGAGGAUGACGCAUUUCGGUGUGUAAACUCCUUUUAUGAGUCAAGAAAAUGACGGUAGCUCAUGAAUAAGCACCGGCUAACCCCGUGCCAGCAGCCGCGGUGAAUACGGAGGGUGCAAGCGUUACUCGGAAUCACUGGGCGUAAAGGACGCGUAGGCGGGAUAUCAAGUCAGGUGUGAAAUCCUACAGCUUAACUGUAGAACUGCACUUGAAACUGGUAACCUAGAGUAUGGGAGGGGGAGAUGGAAUUAGUGGUGUAGGGGUAAAAUCCGUAGAUAUCACUAGGAAUACCUAAAGCGAAGGCGAUCUCCUGGAACAUAACUGACGCUAAGGCGUGAAAGCGUGGGGAGCAAACAGGAUUAGAUACCCUGGUAGUC